CGGCCAGACUCCUACGGGAGGCAGCAGUGGGGAAUAUUGCACAAUGGGGGGAACCCUGAUGCAGCGACGCCGCGUGGGUGAAGGAGCACCUCGGUGCGUAAAGCCCUAUCGGCAGGGAAGAAACAGACGGUACCUGACUAAGAAGCCCCGGCUAACUACGUGCCAGCAGCCGCGGUAAUACGUAGGGGGCAAGCGUUAUCCGGAUUUACUGGGUGUAAAGGGAGCGUAGACGGCACUGCAAGUCCGGAGUGAAAGCCCAAGGCUUAACCAUGGGACUGCUCUGGAAACUGUGGAGCUUGAGUGCGGGAGGGGCAGGCGGAAUUCCUAGUGUAGCGGUGAAAUGCUUAGAUAUUGCGCAGAACUCCGAUUGCGAAGGCAGCAUACCGGCGGCGAUCUGACGCUGAGGCACGAAAGCGUGGGUAUCGAACAGGAUUAGAUACCCUCGUAA
Molecule: ribosomal RNA, 448 nt
Filed under: uncultured bacterium
Lineage: Bacteria
Description: bacterial SSU rRNA
Rfam family: Bacterial small subunit ribosomal RNA
Source: RNAcentral